AUGACGAUCAGAAUCUUUGUGGCUCUUAUGCUGAUCACUGAAAUGGGAUCCAACCGAAAAACUCACACAGUAGUACAGCAGCCUGUGCCUGACACAGUGCAGCCAGGAGACUCUGUGACCCUGCAGUGUACAAUAGAGACUGGGAGCUGUGCAGGAGAACACAGUGUUUACUGGUUCAGACAUGGAUCAGGAGAAUCUCUUCCAGGAGUCAUUUACAGCCACGGAAACAGGAGUGAUGAGUGUGAGAAGAGCCCUGAGGCUGGAUCUCCUACACGGAGCUGUGUCUACAGCCUCCCCAAGAGGAACCUCAGCCCCUCUGAUGCUGGGACUUACUACUGCGCUGUGGCCAUGUGUGGGGAGAUGCUGUUUGGCAAUGGGACAAAGGUUCACGUAGAAGAUGAAUAG
This is a non-coding RNA of Paramormyrops kingsleyae, 405 nucleotides long. The record is from the annotation of a RefSeq genome assembly. Lineage: Eukaryota; Metazoa; Chordata; Actinopteri; Osteoglossiformes; Mormyridae.